Molecule: long non-coding RNA, 6599 nt
Organism: Macrobrachium nipponense
Lineage: Eukaryota; Metazoa; Arthropoda; Malacostraca; Decapoda; Palaemonidae
Exons: 6
Source: RefSeq, a predicted model, not a curated record
UAUACUUGUUAGAGCGAUAGGUAUACUGUAUUUAAAUUUAACUGCAAGACUUAGUGAUACUGAAACCAGCUGUUGAUAUGUUUUUAGUCUAUUGAAAUAAUGAAUGAAGAUGGGUACCUAGACAACGAAGAAACUGUUAUAAAUAAGAGAUAUACAAAUUCCUAUGUUAUGGCACAAAAACACGAAUAAUCAACUUAUGUAUAAAAGCUCACUAAAUUUGUUUUAAAAUUGAUGAAAAUGAAAGCGAUGAGUAAACAUACAGUUAUAGCUCCAAAAUCAAGAGUAAACAAAAUGAGCCUGGAGCGAUUCGUGAAAUUCAAGAGCAGAACGUCCAAAGCAAGCAACAAGCAGGAACAUCUGCGCAUAAAGUUUUCCGACCGAAAGUUACAAUCCUAAAGGAAGAAAAAAAAAAGUCAAAGGACACAUAGAAGAAAUUAACAUCAUAGCUGUGAAAAUAGGAAGAAAGACCAACAGAUAUUGAUAAAAAUGUCCAAGAAGAUGAAGAUGAAGAAACUAAAAAACCCUUAAGCAUGAGAACCGUAAGCUGCGCAUACGAGACACUUUAGAAGAAAGUGACUGGCCACUAAGUGGCCAGCCACUUUGUUGCCAGCUGAUAAUAUUACACUCGCACAGCAGACGAAACAUUGUUCGUGGCAGCCCCAAAAUUCCAAAUGAAUUUCCAACGUGUCAUCAUGCCAUGGUUCGAAGGUCCCUGUGUCUGUGCUUUGCUGGAAAAAUGAAAGCGAAAGAAAAAAAAGAUACUAGCGGAAAGUGUUGGGUACAUCCAAUAAUUAGCCAAAGACUGGUAGCAUUGGGAAAUUUUUUCAUAUUUGAAGACUAAAGUCUUACCCCCAAAAAUUUUACAGUUUCUUCAGGAUGAGUGAAGAGUAGCUAUUUAACAAUCCGAUUACCAUAUCUAAACCUAGUAUAUAUGAUUUCCCAUCAGGACAGAGACAAAUUUGACAGUGGAAAGGCAGGAGGUAGAAACUUGAAGGACCAAUGCGGUGAGGAAGAGAAAAUAUAAAGUUAUAGCUGCAUCUGCCAGCCAAUCUACACUGCAAAUCUGAACUAUGACUAUGUGGCAUCAUAACUUUUUAAAAGGUCAAGGUUUAAGCAUAACAGAUUUCUAACCUGACUCUCCAGCUACUCCGUAUCAUCGGAUAUUAGUCAGCACACCGGGAAUCUGGUCUUUCACUAGGAAUAUACUGCUCGAUGGAAUAGUCGACGAAUUUGUUGAGGACUGGAAUGAGGGCUGAAGAACUAGUUUGGUUAAUCUUGAUGGCCUGGGGAUGCCCUGAAAGAUUGGCAAGAGUAAAUGCCGCUCUGCCCAAAGAGACAAGAAGAGAGGAGCAUAUCCAGAGGAAGGGCAGCCCCAAAACCUCGGCCCAGAAGAAGGUUUUACACCAAAGAGGAGCUGGAGGAAUCCAGGAGGGAAGCAGGGCCCAGCAGAAAAAGAAACUGCUCCAGGUCUGCAUCAAGAAGACCCACCCCCCAGCAAACAAAUCCUCAGGCACCUAAACCAUUGCCAAGGACCAUUUUCAUCAAAACAAUCUAUCUCAGGGACAGACUGAUGGACUUCUCCAACCGAAUCAUUAAGGGAGACAUCAACGCGGAAACUGUCCAAGAGUACAUAGAAGUACUUCUAAAGAGCUUCACUAAAGAGCUUCAUUAAAGGAGCUUCCAAGUCCCCCUCCCCCUUACCUCUAUGCAGGAGGCAGCGACCAAAGCUGAACCAAAACCCACUCAAACCCCGUCACCUCUACCUUCCACAUCCACCCUCAACCCCUCACCUUCCACAUCCUCAGAACUAAUAACCCACACUCCUCUCAACUCCUCCACCUCAUCCUCAUCAUCACCAUCAGUCACUGAAGGCAUGACAGGAGAAACUGGAAGAACAUACGCACCAAGGGACCCCAGACAGUUCUCCUCAACAUACCAAUCAUGCUGAAGAUAAUAAACUGGAACGCUGGUGGAAUAAGGACAAAGGCAGCCACACUAAUUGCAGUCUGCAAAACAGAAAAUGUGGACAUCAUUCUAGUUAAGAAACCAUGCUAACAACUGGGACAAAAUUCAGAAUAACUGGUUAUAAUGUCUACACAACUCCAUGCGUAGGCACAAACAGAGGAUUGGCAAUUCUCGUCAAGAAUACAAUCCCAACAGCGAGAACACACAACCCAAUCCCCUGUGGCAACAAUGUGGAAACCCUAGCAGUGAGAAUCACACUACUAAACCAGAGGAUAGAUAUAUACAACAUAUAUAGAAAAAUACAUAGAGAAGAACCAGGAGAACUACAGCUCUCACAGCUCUUCGCACACGCAGGAGAUUCACCAACAACUAUAUGUGGGGACUUCAACGCACAUCACCCUCUAUCAUCCCCAUCGACCACAAACCAACCUGGAGAGCACAUAGCUAUCUCUCUAGAUGAGUUUGAAGGAGUGUGUGUACUCAACUCAGGGCAACCUACACACAUAAGAGGAGGCAGAUUAGAUUUGACAUUUGCCACAACAACAAUCACACCUAACAAGGUGGCAAGUACAUACGACACUAGUAAGCGAUCACUUUGCCACAGUAACAGUUGGAGAUGCAGCAACUACCGCCAAUACCGCCGCCUCCUCCGACAUGGAACAAAGACCUAGCAGACAGGGUUGUAUUUCGUCUAGCCCUUGAAGAGUGGGCAGCACAAUACACACCUCCAUAAGACAUAGAUCAGCUAGAAAAAGAUCUAGUUGAGGCUAUACACAAUGCUGCAAACAAGGCAAUGCCCAUGAGAGUAGGAAGAAGAGACCACACCUACAAAGACUCCUGGUACUACUGCCCAGAAGUAAGAAGACUGAAAACCCUACUGAACAGGGAAGUAAGAAGACUGAAAACCCUACUGAACAGGGUAACAAAAAACUACAGGAAAAGGACGACAACAGAAAACUGGGAACUGCUACAAGCAGUCAAAAAUGAUGUUCAACAGCAGCUGCAAGAGAUAAGAAUUGAAAAGUGGAUGGAAUGGUGUACAAAACUAUCACAGUACACAUCUCUCUCGGAGCUAUGGAAGUGGCUGAACAGAGGACCGGAAAGAAGAAACACCCGUAGCAACUCUCCCUCACCCACUAGAAGAAGCGGAAAGACUGGCAACAUCCUUCGCCAGUAGGACUAGCUCAGGUAACCUCUCCCCUGAAACAAGAAGAAUUCAGGAUCAACUAGCACCGAUCAGAUGGGAGGAGAUCGAUGCAGCCCGCCACAGACCAGAUGAUACUGACACCCCUUACACAGUAGAGGAACUGAAAGCAGUUUUUAAAGCUGGCAGAGAGACAGCACCAGGAGCAGACAGGAUAACGUACACCAUGAUCAGCAAAAUGGGUCCUGCAGGAGAAACUGCCUUUCUGAGAAUCCUGAACAAAACACACAUCGAACACACAAGACCACAAACCUGGCGGCAGCAGGACACGCAGCCAAUCCCCAAACCUAAAGAUCCAGAGAACCCAAGACCAAUCGCAUUGGUGUCAUGCAUUGAGAAAACAGGAGAAAAAAUGGUACUAAAUAGAAUGAAGUAAAAGAUUGGUCCACUGCACAAGCAGCUAUAUACAUAUCAGGAAGGAGUCGGAACUACAGAGUGCAUAACAAAUGUUCUCGGCUACAUAAAUCAGGAGAAGGCCACAGUAGUCUUCAUAGAUUUUGAAAAGGCUUUUGAACUAGCCAGUCCAGCAGCAAUACUUCAAUCAGUAGUAAGGAAGGGAGUCAAAGGACACUUCCUAGCCUGGACAACAAACUACGUACUGGGAAGGCAGGCCAGAGUAAAAUUCCAAGGAGUGAUGUCUACAUUCCACGACUUGGAAAAUGGCACCCCUCAGGGAGGAAUUCUGAGCCCAUUUCUAUUCAAUAUACUAAUGGAGAGUAUAGCCUUCCUGCAGCUUCCAGAAGGCUUAGAAAUCUUCAUCUAUGCCGAUGAUGUGUGUGUAGUCGCAAGAGGAGCUGUUAGAGUACCCAGAAUGCAAAGGGCACUCAAUGACAUAAACAACAAAUCAAAUGAGCUUGGCCUUAAAAUAAACAUAAAUAAAACAAAGGCCAUGACAAUAAAAGCCCACAGACCGCUGCAACCACUAACAAUAGGAGCUGAGCCCAUAGAAUGGGUAGACAGCUACAUGUACCUGGGAGUUGUCAUAGAUCAGCAGCUAACUUUCAAGGAAGAAAUAAAGUACUUGAGAGAGAAAGCAAAUGCAAGACUGGCCACCAUGAGAUACAUGUCAUCCCUGAAGGAGGGAGCAAAUGAACACAUACAAAGGAAGUACUACCUAGCCUGCACUAGAACAUUGGUGGACUACGCUGCCCCCACUCUGAUGAGGCUGACAGAGGCUCAAAAAGAAUCACUGGAGGUCAUUCAAAACCAUGCAAUGAGGCUCAUGCUAGGAGCACCCACAUGGACAAGGCUGUGCAACCUCAAGCUUGAAACCAACUUGCCAAAAUUAGAGGAUAGGAUUGCACAGCGAAAUGCAAGCACAAUGGCAAAGAUGUUCCUCUCAAAGAUACUCCAUCUCUAAGAAAAGAGCAAGAGAGGGACUUUCUAAACACCCAGAGAUUCAAACUUCCAGUUCCUAUGGUAAGGACCAAAGUGACAACAUCAAGAGUCUAGGCAUGGCAGAAACACUGCUGCAACUAGGUCCAGACAACACAGGGCACACAAAAACUACCACCCUGGAAGAAGGACACUGCAAUAUACAAAUACACAAGCCUGCCAAGAGCAAAAGAGGACUGCACAAGAGAAGAGCUAAGAGCAGCAGCCUAUGAAGCAAUCGGAAACACUGAGACCAUAGGUAGCACAAACAUACUACACCGAUGGCACUGUAGAUCCUGAGAAUCAAACUACGGGAGCUGCAGUAUACUCGAGAAACUCACAGCCUGCUGGAGGACCUCCAACCACGCCUCCACUAUGCAGACAGUUAACAGCAAUAAGACAGGCACUGCUGUACUCACUGGAGAAUGAAGGGCCUGUAAUCAUCCACACAGACUCAGUCCUCAAUGCAAGCCCUGCAACAACAGAAAAACAAAGAAAAUAAGGCACUGCUGGCUGGAAUUAAAACACUGCUACACCAGCACAGCGAAAGAGGAAGACCUGUCACCUUAAACUGGAUACCCAGUCACACAGGAAUUCCAGGCUACGAGAGGGCUGAUGAGCUAGCCAAAAGUACAAAACACAUUGACAGAGUGCAAAUAAGGAUACAACCUGCACUGCAAAACAAAUAAAAAUUGCUAAAAGACCAUCGUGAGUGGGUAGAAAAGCACUCAGUCUGCCAGAUGGUAUAAGACACAGACUGAUCUUGUGCCUCCUCCCAUAGACAGGCACACACCAAGAAAACUUGCUGUGAUCAUCCACAGACUCAGGCUAGGAUAUAAAGCCUGCUGGGAAGUUUGUGGUAAACAGUGUCAGACCAUGUGAACACUGUCAAGAAGAAACUCGGCAACCACUCCUUCACUACCUGCUGGAAUGCAGAGAAACAGCACAGCUAAGAGGUGCAGCACAAAAUUAAUUACCUGCACAAGAUGCAGAGCAUGCAGCUGCCACAGUCACAAAGACAAUCAUUGAAAACUUAGAAGAGCAUGCCCAGGUGCUCUACAACCUACCUCCACCAAGGUAAAGAAACUAAGAAGUGACAUCACCCACCCUCAUCACAUCCCCUCACUGUAAGGCUCUAUCCACAUCAUCCACUAUCAUUCUUUUAAAACUUUACCUACAACUGAAAUCCUCCCGCAGGGACCCAAGGGAGUAAAGGGUUGGACAAACCCACCUGCACCGCUUCUCCGAUAUUCGAAAGCCUUACAUUCUUUCAAACUUCUUCUAUAAUAUGACAUGAUGGCCCUCUCUUUUUGACCCCAUCAUCCUUCCCCUGUCCACUUCUAUCUCUACAACUAAAGAUAUUUCCAAUUUCAAAAAACUAACAGUGUACCUAAUGAAUCUUUUCAGAUCACCUACGGGCCGAACAAGGGAAAGGCCCGUGCCAACAAGUAUUGGCUUAAUACAACAACAUCAUAAUCUUGAGGUGGUCGUGAAGAAGUUUCCCAAGACUAUUUGGCAACCUUCUGAGGAGCGUUCCAGCAGAGAAUGUAGAUAAUAACAGCAAAGGGGACGAACACAUCAGAAGAGAUGCCAAAAAAAAAAAAAAAAAAAAAAAACUGCAAGGAUUAGCUCAAACGACUCUUAACUACAGAAACCUUUGAGGCCAUACAGAGAAAAGGACCAUAAACGCGAAUGAACAGGAUCGGCCAGAAGACCGGUGGGCAAGAGGACCGAACGGCGGAAUAUCAGUUGUGUAACUCUAUACAGUUGCCGGUAUUCCAGGGCAGUAUUAAAGAAUUUAUGAUCGAGGCGUCCAGAAAUUUCUUAUAAAUUUUUUUAUUUUUUUGCCACUGGGGGCCCAGUUUCGGUAUCAGGCUUUUUGGAACUCUUAUCCUGUUUAACUUUUUAAAAUAGUUUAGUAUGAAAAAUAAAAAAAAAUUUAGUUUGUUGGUUUUAUAGAGAAAAACUAGUUUAAAGAAAAACCAAUGUAAAAUUAUUAUAUGUAUAUCUAAUGUAUAUUAAUAACAAUUGUCUUAGAUUAAAUUAAAAUUUCUUG